GCCAGCAUUGUGUAGUGGUUUGAGCAUUAGACUAUGACUCUGGAAAACAGAGUUCGAAUCCCAGCUCAGGCA
Non-coding RNA from Phrynosoma platyrhinos (Desert horned lizard), 72 nucleotides. The record is from the annotation of a GenBank genome assembly. Lineage: Eukaryota; Metazoa; Chordata; Lepidosauria; Squamata; Phrynosomatidae.